GGUGAACGCUGGCGGCGUGCCUAACACAUGCAAGUCGAGCGAACCCUUCGGGGUGAGCGGCGGACGGGUGAGUAACGCGUGGGUAACCUGCCCUGUACACACGGAUAACAUACCGAAAGGUAUGCUAAUACGAGAUAAUAUAUUUUAAUCGCACGGUUAAGAUAUCAAAGCUCCGGCGGUACAGGAUGGACCCGCGUCUGAUUAGCUAGUUGGUGAGGUAAUGGCUCACCAAGGCGACGACCAGUAGCCGACCUGAGAGGGUGAUCGGCCACACUGGAACUGAGACACGGUCCAGACUCCUACGGGAGGCAGCAGUGGGGAAUAUUGCACAAUGGGCGAAAGCCUGAUGCAGCAACGCCGCGUGAGCGAUGAAGGCCUUCGGGUCGUAAAGCUUUGUCCUCAAGGAAGAUAAUGACGGUACUUGAGGAGGAAGCCCCGGCUAACUACGUGCCAGCCGCCGCCGUAA
RNAcentral lists this ribosomal RNA (466 nucleotides) under uncultured bacterium. Its description in RNAcentral is "partial 16S ribosomal RNA". It matches the Rfam family "Bacterial small subunit ribosomal RNA", at positions 28 to 523 of the family's 1533-position model. The record is from RNAcentral.